GCCUGGGAGAAGAGACAUGACAGGAGGCACAUGUGUGUCCUCAUGCAUUGGAUUUUUCUUGCUUGGGCUGCAGUGCCUUAUUGUGGAAGACUUUAAUGUGAAGUAUGUUUGUGUCCUUGGCAUGCCUGCCAUGGCACUUCUGGAAAGAGGAGAUGAGAAUCCUUUGGGGAUGGCCCCACUGCAGAUGUUCUGGAGCAACAGGUAUGCCUCACAGAUCAGCCUCAUCACACAGUGUGGCUGCUCACACUUCUGGCACCAAAAUGCAGGUGGUGACUAUUGCUGAUUCCUCCCUCCUGCCCCCAUAUACUGGAGAACCUUUCUCCCACCAGCUCUGGUUGCAGCCAACCAGUUCACCACCACACUCCAUCAGAGGGGCUGUUUUCACUGGUGUCACCUUUGGUGCCAUGCCUGAGGGCAGCUGCUCCCUUUGGUUUGCUGCUCUUACAAGGUACUUCAGGAAAAUCAUGUUUCUGAGCCCAGUUCAGAAGAGUGUUUCCACUUAGGACAGCAGUUAAUUGCAUGGUGGAGUCAAACUGUGAUUGAGUGGGACUUGAGUGAUGCUUUAAGAGGGGGAACACACAGCCUGAGACCUGGAUCUCGUUUACAGGCUCUGUUACACCAAGAAGGGCCUGCCGCUGAAGGCCUUAUCUCUCUCUAACUUUGAGAGAUGGAUGCAAGGAGUGAAAAUGAGGCUGACCACCUGCUCAGAGCAGCAGUUCGGAUUUUGUUUGUUCUGUGCAUUGGUGCCUUUGUGAGGUAGUGAGCCCAGAAGGGAGGGGUGACCAUCAUUGUUCAGCUGCACAGGGCCAAUGCCUGCCCCAGGACCUUAUCCCAGCUGAGGUGCUGGCUCUUGGCCCACAGGCAUAAUGCUUGAGGGAGCUUUCACAGAGUAUUUAUGUUGUUGACUUCCUUUUCCUAUUAGUGGGAACUUCUCAGUCCUUGGGGUUUGGGGUGUGUGACAGGGACCAAAGACAUGGCAUGGGAAAUGGGGUCUUCCCUACAGAUCCUUGCUGGGAGCCAAAGUCUGUUUGUCUCCCUUGUCAGCCCAGUCCAUAACCUCUGGCAACAGUUUCAGCAGGCAAGCUGAACAAAAGUGACUAAGGAUCAGAGACUUCACACAUCUUCAGUUGGAGAAAGUGUGCGGUUCCACCUCUGAAGCAACGUUUCCUAAAAUAACAGCCUCUGGAACCUCUGCAAUCUGUUUCCCUGUCUCCCAGAACUGAGAAGUCUUUCAGCAUUGUGAAGCAAGCUGCAAAAUAACAGCCAGAACAAGAGAGCCUCAGUUUGUAGCACUCUAUCUGGGGACCUAUUGGGCUAUUAUUAGCAGGGGAUACCAAAUUCAUUUUGUAAAUAUUUGAAAAGCCUUGCCAAGCAGCGUUGCAAAGACACAUGGUUUUCUAUGAGCCCUGCAGUCAUUCAGCCUGGACAAAACACAAGGAAAAAGAGCAGUUUGAGCACACCAUUCUGUUUUGUUCUCCUCUACCUGAGGAGAUGCGCUUAUGCACCCCUUGGGCCAAAGCUGAAAAUCCCGCCCCAAACUUUAGACAGAGGGGAUUCUUUCUCGGGUGGAAAGGGGAUUGAGCGGCUCCCGAGCCCUCAGUCCGGGACGUGCUGGUCCCGGCACAAGUCCUGCCCGAGCUGCGGAGCUGCCCUCCGGCAGUGCCACGCGGGAUUCCCCACAGCCUCCUCUCGUCCCCUCCAAGCACAAGGGACCCGCAAUCUCCGUUUGCACCGCUAGAGGGAGGGAAACUACACGGAAUUAGAACCUCCCCCGUCCGUCUGUCCGACCCUCCGCCGUAGGCGUGACAGUAAAUAUUCUUCCAGUAUUGUUUUUAACGAGGAAUUGCUUAAAAACGGGUAAGGUGGGUUGUUUAUCGCAGUUUGUGUGCGUCCGUGCAAGAGCUGAGAGCUGCGCUGCCCUGAGGAAUGGGGCACCCAGGGUGGGGGCCUGCGGGCCACCAGCGUGUUGUGGAAGCUCCUCUUGGGUCACGUCUGUGGGAAGUGCAGUGCGGUAGUAACAGGCUUAGGAGCCGCGUCCCAUCCUUGUGGUAACCGAAUCGGCGCGCGGAGGGGGGAUGUCUGAGGGGCGAUGCAGGCACACCCGCCUUCAAGGCGCCUGUCGGCCCUUCUUUAGCUUCACAAUCUCUGCUGUGGCCAGUUCAGUGUGGUUAAGUGAAUCAAACCACCCCAAAUAAGUCUUUAUGUUUGGUUUCUCUCUCCUCCUCUCCCCUUCCCCACACUUUCUUAACACUUACAAAAGAAGAAGCACAUUUAACAAAAAGGAAAAGUAUAUUUUAAUGAAAGCAAACGGUAACGGGAACUUUAACUUAUGGAGAACUUCUUUUUCUUUCUGUUUCUGCACAAAAUUAUGAAAUUUGAUUAAGAAAAACGUGAUGAUAUUUCCAACCUAGGAAAAGGAAUGCAGUUGUCAAUGAAACCCACUCCCAUUGGCAGUACCAGAGAACAACCUUCACACUUUCAGAACCUAUUUCAUCAAACCUGGUAGCUGUUUGUUCACCAUGUACCCUGGACUUGGUGUUACACAGCUGGAUACGCUCAGCUUUCCUCCGUAGAAAGGCACUGAGUAACCACAGCAGCUCGUGCUUAGUUUGCUGAGGGGAUGCCUGUCCUCUGCCCAGUGUGGAAGGGAGAAAGCAGGCAUGUUGGAAUGAGCUGCUGGUUCUGUCAGAAAACCAAG
Non-coding RNA from Meleagris gallopavo (turkey), 2698 nucleotides. The record is from RefSeq and is a predicted model, not a curated record. NCBI's taxonomy places the organism in Eukaryota, Metazoa, Chordata, Aves, Galliformes, Phasianidae.